GCGCCUAUUCUUGAAGUUGGUUGACGACGUUCAAUCUCAGCCUCAACCUUAGGUGCAGAUUGCAUAGCUCCACCAUCAAUUUUUUCUACUACUUUUUUUUUCUUGAAAAAAUCAUUAAUUUUUCUACUCAUAAUGGACCUAAAAUAUGAAUAAAGUUAUAAGAGAAAAAUGAAAUAAAAAGAAAAAGAAAAAGAGAAGAAGUGAAGAGGAUGUUGAAUAGAACCG
RNAcentral lists this long non-coding RNA (225 nucleotides) under Elaeis guineensis (African oil palm). RNAcentral's name for it is "long non-coding RNA (EGUI_LNC041838)". The record is from RNAcentral. Lineage: Eukaryota; Viridiplantae; Streptophyta; Magnoliopsida; Arecales; Arecaceae.